UACGUAGGUGGCGAGCGUUGUCCGGAUUUACUGGGCGUAAAGGGAGCGUAGGCGGACUUUUAAGUGAGAUGUGAAAUACUCGGGCUCAACUUGAGUGCUGCAUUUCAAACUGGAAGUCUAGAGUGCAGGAGAGGAGAAUGGAAUUCCUAGUGUAGCGGUGAAAUGCGUAGAGAUUAGGAAGAACACCAGUGGCGAAGGCGAUUCUCUGGACUGUAACUGACGCUGAGGCCCGAAAGCGUGGGGAGCAAACAGG
Molecule: ribosomal RNA, 253 nt
Filed under: uncultured bacterium
Lineage: Bacteria
Description: partial 16S ribosomal RNA
Rfam family: Bacterial small subunit ribosomal RNA
Source: RNAcentral